AUGUGGUAUUUAAUCAAGGGAGUUGUGUUGACUAAAGAUAAUCUAACUAAAUGAAACUUGGAAUGGAAUUGAAAAUGUAGUUUAUGUAGUAACUUAGAAACUAUUCAUCACUUGUUCUUUGACGGUUGCUAUGCUAGAUUCAUUUGGAGACUUAUUUACUUCAAGUUUGGCAUAAAACCUCCUAGAAAUGUCAAUCAUAUGUUCGGAUCUUGGCUUAAUGGCUUUGACAUGAGACUAAGAAAAUCACAUUUUAGUAGGUGCACAGCUCUGUUUUGGGCUGUCUAA
RNAcentral lists this ribosomal RNA (285 nucleotides) under Triticum aestivum (bread wheat). Its description in RNAcentral is "partial small subunit ribosomal RNA". The record is from RNAcentral. Lineage: Eukaryota; Viridiplantae; Streptophyta; Magnoliopsida; Poales; Poaceae.